This is a non-coding RNA of Doryrhamphus excisus (bluestripe pipefish), 274 nucleotides long. RefSeq annotates it as small Cajal body-specific RNA 6. Lineage: Eukaryota; Metazoa; Chordata; Actinopteri; Syngnathiformes; Syngnathidae. The record is from RefSeq and is a predicted model, not a curated record.
GGUCGAUGAUGAGAAGUAAAAGGUCUGAUUUUACCCAUAAAGCUCAUCCCGACCCGUGCUCCCCAGCAGCUUGCACUCCGUGCUGCCAGCACGCUGAAAGUAACGCCGUGCUGGUCUCUGAGCUGCUGACACACACAGGAAGUGAUGCCAUAUUUGGAGUCGUGCGCAGACCAUCUCGGCUUCCUUGUCCUUUACUUCCAACCAAAACCAUCACAAUGGAGUGUAGGGUGGGGGUGGGUGAAGGGGACUGAUCUAAAGUUUUCAAGCUGAGACC